ACAAAAUUAUUAGUGAUGGCACAGGAACAAAAGGAGCCAGAGUAUUACAAGGUUAGGCCAAAGAAUGCCACAGAUGAAGAAUCUUGCCUGGCCACUCGCUUUACAGUUCACAAUGACACAGAGGAAACCUGGCCACUUUCUGGAGUUCACAAAGCAGGAGCAGUCCUGUUUGAUGGCGAGGGAUAUUACAGCAGACUUAUGCUGAAUGAUGUCAACAAUUGUAUUGAAACAAAUAGUACAUGCGGUAUCAAGACUGAAGAUUCUAUCACUUUCCAAUCAGAUGCCAAGACCAACUUUUUGGCAUUGACUAUCUUUUGGCUGAGGAUUCUCUUCUUCAAGACCAUUGCGUUUAAUAUUCUGAUGACAGUGAAAGUCUGGCUGAACUAGUGCUUUUUGAAAUUGGUGAUAUAAUCCCAAAUUAGAAGACCUGGAGUUUUGUGCUGUCUACAUGAAGAAAGUGGAAUGUUUUGCAUGACAUGACAAUGUGGUUGUUGAAAUGCAAUGUAAUAUAGUUCUUAUUUGUUCAUUUAAGUAAUAGCAACAUCAAUCAUUUCUAUUCAACUCAAUUCGAUUUUAUGUACAUUUGUUUUUAAAUUUACGCUUUGAACAAUAGACCUUUUCACAAUGUACUACUAAAAUCUAGCUAUAUGACCGCUUGUUAAGUCUGACCGCAGUUAUUUGUUUGUUUUUUCUGUUAUUAUCAUUUCUAUUCAUUGUUACUAAUCCAGACUUUUUAUUCUUUUGUUAUGUAUCAUUUAUAGUCCAGUGUUGGCUGUUUCUGCAUAGAUAUUUCUUUGAAAAUAAACAAAACAUUAACGGAAUAUGCUAAGAUACAUGUACAUGUAUACUGUAUACUAUACUUUUGCACAUCAAAAUAAACAAUAAUUAUAUGAAA
This is a non-coding RNA of Tachysurus vachellii, 895 nucleotides long. Lineage: Eukaryota; Metazoa; Chordata; Actinopteri; Siluriformes; Bagridae. The record is from the annotation of a RefSeq genome assembly.